AUGCCUAUAUCAAAGGUUAAUCAGAGCAAAACACAGCCUGAUUAGCUGGGGAUCUCUAGCUUGCAAAAAGAAGGAUUUUAUUUGGUAUUAAGAAUAAGAAUUAGGAAAAGGAAGAUCAUUUCUUCUAAGUCAUUGUUUUUCUGGAUUUGGAAUGACUGUUUUCCCAGACCUGAGCCUUUCCUGGCUGGCCUAACAAUUUUCUGCCUGACAUUGUUGGGAAGAUCUUUUGUAAAUUUAUAGCUCUUGCUCCAUGUGGUUAUAGCUCUUGCUCCAUGUGGUUACAUCACUGACUAUUCUUACCUCAUCUUCUAGAGACUGUAUGGAACUUUACAAAUGAUGAUGGCAAAUCCUCCAGGACCCUAUUGAACGGUUCUCUCCCUUGCCUUUAAGUUCUUCUCCCCAGCUAGGGUUCACAGGGCUACUUUCCUGACAAUCGGGUGAAGCUGACUAUAUGACCUCAGAUCUACCCUUCUCUCUUCGAUGCCCUGUUCUGGGACUGCAGAGGCUGACUCAUGGAUUUCACUGAUGAGCUGUCUUGCCAUUCAGGUUCCAGGUGGAUUUGGCUGAUGGAAGCAGAGGGAAUCAAGGUUUUGAGGUGAAGGCCAAAAUAGAAAUUGCCAUCAAGCUCCAAAUGAUCCUCAGUGAGGGAUACUGCUCUCUCAGUAUUCAAGAGUCACCCUUCCACAGAGAACCCCUAGACUGCCCAUCAGUGGAAUAUGGAGAGGUAAAAUCCUGCCCCUGUCUCCUUUUUGACCUGGCUGGAUACCAUUUUCACCAAGAGAUUCACUCACAGAGUCACCCUGCCUUGACAGCUAGCAAGAGGCCAAGACCCACAGAACAAUGACUACCACCCCUCUGACAGCAGGAAGCAGUUACAGAAGACUGACCUUUGUCCAUUUUCCCAAAGAAUUGGGUCUUGGACUCUUGAGGGGCAGGAAUGUUAGAGUAGGUAGUUAGGUAGGUGUGAGGAAGGCAGGGGAGGACUCUCCACCCCAGGAAUGUCAGAUGACCAUCAGGUCAUGUCAAGUGGUUGUUAAACUGUCUCUCUGAAAUGAUAAUUGGUUGCAGCUGGCUCCAGGGUAAGACAGUCUCCCAGUAGAUGGAAAACACCUACAGUUGGUAAUCAGCAGCUUGAUAAGAUCUCAAAAGCUGGGCAAGUGGCCUGAAGCAUGUGAACUAAGAAGCAAAAUGACUGAUGUGUGAUGUUCCCCUGGGGGGCGUUUGCCCCCAGAGAGCAUGCGCCCAGUCUUAGUAAAUGCACUAUACAUGUGGUCACCCUCCCAAAUGCUGACCGACAUUGCACAUGCAGUAGCUGAGCAAUAGCCUGCCCCAAGGGAAGAUUCAAUGGAGGAGAAAAGAAAAUCCCAGAGCCGUGUCAAUGUAUAAAACCCCAAGUCAAGGGCUGAACGAGCCACUUGGACCUCUCAAGUUGCCUGCUUGGCCCUCUUCCAAGUGUACUUUGCUUCUUUUGCUCCUGCUCUAAAACAUUUUAAUAAACUCUCCCUCCUGCUC
This 1512-nucleotide long non-coding RNA is filed under the name Macaca mulatta (Rhesus monkey). RNAcentral describes it as "lncRNA (ENSMMUG00000051395.1)". Lineage: Eukaryota; Metazoa; Chordata; Mammalia; Primates; Cercopithecidae. The record is from RNAcentral.